GAUGAACGCUAGCGGCAGGCUUAACACAUGCAAGUCGAGGGGCAGCGCGGGAUAGCAAUAUCCUGGCGGCGACCGGCGGAAGGGUGCGUAACGCGUGAGCGACAUGCCCGUUGCCCGGGGACAACCGGUGGAAACGCCGACUAAUCCCCGAUGGGAUACGAUGCUUCAUGGCAUUGUAUUGAAAGUUACGGCGGCGACGGAUUGGCUCGCGUCCGAUUAGCUGGUUGGCGGGGUAACGGCCCCCCAAGGCUGCGAUCGGUAGGGGUUCUGAGAGGAAGGCCCCCCACAAUGGGACUGAGACACGGCCCAUACGCCUACGGGAGGCAGCAGUGAGGAAUAUUGGUCAAUGGGCGGAAGCCUGAACCAGCCAUGCCGCGUGCGGGAAGGAGGCCCUAUGGGCUGUGAACCGCUUUUGCCUGGGGGCAAUAAGGGCGUCGCGCACGUCCGAUGAGAGUACCAGGCGAAUAAGCAUCGGCUAACUCCGUG
This 486-nucleotide ribosomal RNA is filed under the name uncultured bacterium. RNAcentral describes it as "partial 16S ribosomal RNA". It matches the Rfam family "Bacterial small subunit ribosomal RNA", at positions 28 to 507 of the family's 1533-position model. The record is from RNAcentral.